AUCUCUUGCGCCUCCUGCGUUGGCUGGCAGAUUCUUUACCACUGAGCCACCUGGAAAGCUCCCUGUCCUAGGAUAGGGCACUACUAUCCUGACUUCUAACACCUGAGGUUCAUUCUGCCUGUUCUUGAACUUCAUAGAAAUGGGGCCAUGUAGCAUGCAGUCUUUUGGAGCUUAGCUUCUUUCCCUUAACAGGUCUGUGAGAUUCAUCCAUGUUGUGAGGGUCAGCAGUUAUUUAUUCCAUCGAAUGACUAUGCCACAACAUGUACAUCCAUCCUAUUUCCAAUAGAAAUUUGGUUGUUUUCAAUUCUUGGCUAACAUAAUGAAAUAUGAUGAAUUUUAUACAUAUUUUUGGUAUACACACCAAAAAUUUCCAUCAGUGCACUCAUUUUUCUUAAGCAUAUAAUUAGGAGUAGAAUUGCUGGGACAUAGGGCAGGUGUAUGUUUAGAAUUUAUACAUAGGGAAUAGGGUUUUUUUUUUUCUUUUUUUUUAAGCUCUUAAACUGGGCCUAAUGCUUAGCCAGGAUUAAGAAUAACUGUUCUGGAGGGUAAGUAGAAGCAUUUUCAGUAAACAUGGGUCUUCGUUGUAAUAAAACCUAAGACAAAAGAGGGUUUGCUAUGCCUUUAACAUAAUAAGGCCAGGUUUGUUACUUCUCAUGGGAUAAGGUCAAGGUCAAUUCUUAAGAGACAAGUACAUUUCUCAGUUAGCCUAAAUGGGAGUGGUUUACAAAAGAGAAAUUAACCUCACAUCUGAUUUCAAUAACCUUAGGAGAUAAUAAGCCAUUGCCUGAGGUGGAGAUACCCACAAGCCUCCUUUCCCUGCACCCCUCAUCUGUGGACCAGGACUCUUCCUUCUUACCACUUGGAAAACUAGAAGAAAGUAUCAAAGCUUACCUUCUCCACCAGCAGAAAGUGCCAAGGAGACAUCUCUUCAUAUUCAGGAGACGUUUGAGAUGGCUCAUUUUGUAACAUAGGAUGGGCUCUAAGGAACCGGCUCAGCAGUUGUGGUGCAUGGGCUUAGUGCUCCAUGGCACGUGAGGUCUCCCUGGACCAGGGAUCAAACUCAAGUCCAAUGUAUUGACAGGUGGAUUUUUUAACCACUGGAUCACCCCGGAAGCCCUAACUGAAAUCCUAACACACCAUGACUGUCUCUGAUGAGAACCCAGCUUUGAUGCAUGCAGCAUAUGGGGCCAUGCCAGAAAUUAAGGUCAUUUUCUCUGCCCUAACAUGCCCUAGAAGGUCAUGCUAUCUCUCAUGAGUCUUUGUGUUGUGAUGCUCUGGGCCCCUCUGGGGGAAAUCAAGCUCUAUUCUGUGGGAAGUGGAAGGACUCACAGUCUUUAAGGAGAAGCUUCCAGGUGACUGCGGGAUCUCCUAGGAACAAUCCAAGUACCUUUAAAGGGUGAAUCACCCCAUCUUCCUGGAAAAGUGAAAGAAAAGCUCUCAUGGGCUCAAAGGAGGAAAACAACUCUUGGGUAAAUCCCUGGGAUGGAUAAAAGCAGAACUUCUCAGGUGCUUGGUUCCUUGGGAUGGUUGGUGGGUCUCUAACUGGAAGCACUCCCUUGAAGCUGUCACUGCUUGAAGGGCUGCCUUGACUUUGCAUCGUGACAACUGAGGUCACAAUGAAUUCUACACUGAAUGGAUAGCAAUGUGGGCUUUCAAGGAGGCGUGUCAACAAUGGAUGGGUGGUACACCAAGACGUGGACGUUUUCUGUCCCCUAAAUUUCUCCUAUUUUCCUCCCCACUCUGAAGACUGGUAAUGUCAUCAAGUAUCCUUUUCUUUAAAUUUGCUAUCCGUCCAUUAGGGAACCAUUGACUAAAAUGACCUGCUCUGGCCAUGCAGGAUAAUAACCGUCUGCCUGAAUUAUCUCACAACAGGAGGUUCUGAUAAAGAAUAUGCAACUGACAAGCUACUGUCAGCCAGAAGAAUUUGGGAGGGGCCAAAAGGAGGGAGGGAGAUGCCAAGAUAUAAUAUGUCCUGUCAAACUCCCAGAAACUCUCAUGCUGGAAAACAUCUUGACUACACACAUCUUGAGAUACACAUACUGUUAGGACAGACCUUGAAUCAGAUCAAAUACAGGCACAGGUAGUUCUGAAACUUGGCCUGUGUACCCUCGUGCUGAACUGAAUCUCAAAGACAGAGCUUUGGGCACAGUAGUUUUAUUGCUUUGCCAGGAAAGGGGAACACAGAGGGCUAAUGCCCUCAGAACUGUGUGUUCCAACCUGGGGGAGGUUGGGUGAGGAGUUUUAUAGCAAUGGUCCAAAGGGCAGGGUUGUUGAUAAGGACCAGGGUGUGUCCAGGGCCUGCAUUCCUUUAAUCUGGCCUCAGGUGGUAUCUCCUAAUGAGCUUCUCCUGAUGAGGUUCUCAGGGUUAUCAAACUGUGGUUCUCUGGAAUGAAGAAUGUUUCAUAAGUAGUUAACAUCUUCCAUUUGUGGUGGGUUUUAGUUCUGCAGAAGAGCUCAAAGAUUGUUCUGUGUAUUCCUUGAGGCAGAACCAGGACACUGUCCCCGAGCUGCACUAUUAUUUCUUGACCACUCUUCCCUUGUCAUGCAUCUCCUCCUUCCUUGAUUAGCAAUGAUUUGAACCUUCCCUUUGGAACUCAGUGAAGGUAAUGGGGGCUGAAACCUGUUUCCUACAAACAAAAAGUGGGGGACAAAGAAAGGCUUCCAUGCCCAGAGCCCCACAGUGUCCUGCUCAGUUUCAUGCAAGAUGACUGGCCAGAGAAAACCUGAAGGAUGAACUCCACCACCAUAAACUCUGAGACUACAAGUCACGUGGCAGAGAAGUUCUCUUGGGUUCCUUUACCAUACUGCCCUCUGCCUGAGCACCCCAUCCCAAUAAAUUCCCUUACUUUGUCAGCA
Long non-coding RNA from Bubalus bubalis (water buffalo), 2856 nucleotides. RefSeq lists it as uncharacterized. The record is from RefSeq and is a predicted model, not a curated record. The transcript has 2 exons. NCBI's taxonomy places the organism in Eukaryota, Metazoa, Chordata, Mammalia, Artiodactyla, Bovidae.